GAUGAACGCUGGCGGCGUGCCUAAUACAUGCAAGUCGAGCGAACGGACGAGAAGCUUGCUUCUCUGAUGUUAGCGGCGGACGGGUGAGUAACACGUGGAUAACCUACUUAUAAGACUGGGAUAACUUCGGGAAACCGGAGCUAAUACCGGAUAAUAUUUUGAACCGCAUGGUUCAAAAGUGAAAGACGGUCUUGCUGUCACUUAUAGAUGGAUCCGCGCUGCAUUAGCUAGUUGGUAAGGUAACGGCUUACCAAGGCAACGAUGCAUAGCCGACCUGAGAGGGUGAUCGGCCACACUGGAACUGAGACACGGCCCAGACUCCUACGGGAGGCAGCAGUAGGGAAUCUUCCGCAAUGGGCGAAAGCCUGACGGAGCAACGCCGCGUGAGUGAUGAAGGUCUUCGGAUCGUAAAACUCUGUUAUUAGGGAAGAACAUAUGUGUAAGUAACUGUGCACAUCUUGACGGUACCUAAUCAGAAAGCCACGGCUAACUACGUG
Molecule: ribosomal RNA, 497 nt
Filed under: uncultured bacterium
Lineage: Bacteria
Description: partial 16S ribosomal RNA
Rfam family: Bacterial small subunit ribosomal RNA
Source: RNAcentral